GCAUGUGUAGUUUAAUGGUAAAACACAUCUCUGAUAAAGAUGAGAGCGAUGGUCCGAUUCCAUCCACAUGCACCA
This 75-nucleotide transfer RNA is filed under the name Candidatus Roizmanbacteria bacterium. Its description in RNAcentral is "tRNA-Ile". It matches the Rfam family "tRNA". From Rfam's summary of the family: Transfer RNA (tRNA) molecules are approximately 80 nucleotides in length. The record is from RNAcentral. Lineage: Bacteria; Candidatus Roizmaniibacteriota.